CGCAGAUCCCGAGAAUCCAGCAGGGUCUCCGGGUAUGAGUCUGGUUGUCCCUCACCAGGACGAUCCCGCCUGGCUAUGAUAUCAUCUCUCACUUCCUGCCAGCCAGUGAUCUCAGCCACACUUGGAGCAGUCAGCGGGGCCCCCGGGGUUACCGAGCGCUUCCUGGAGGCCAGGCAGUGUCUGAGCACUUCGUAUCCACUGAUAGGUUUAAUCUCCCAACAACUGAAGAGGAUAAGCCACACGACGGCAACCUUUUCCUCUGCUGCAGCCCCAGUGCCAAGAACAACACCAAGCGUACUGCAGAGACAAGCUGUUUGUGAAUGAAGGCAUAAGUGCCCAUUUUCCGCAAGAGAAAGUUGUGGCUCAGUGGGGCACCACUCGUCCUCCGAACUACUCACUGCCUGGGGUCCUCAGCCACCUUGUCAUACACGGUAACAGCUAACACGGGCAAGUGGUACUGCACACCCGGCACUGUGCCCAUCACCUGUCCAGGCCGGCUCCUUCACUCCCCAGCACAGCCCUGUGCGCGAGGCUCCAUCGAACGACAUCCAGCUCACGCUGCCUGCGGAGACCGAGACCCAGCUGGGGGCAG
This 592-nucleotide long non-coding RNA is filed under the name Equus caballus (horse). RNAcentral's name for it is "lncRNA (ENSECAG00000048176.1)". The record is from RNAcentral. Lineage: Eukaryota; Metazoa; Chordata; Mammalia; Perissodactyla; Equidae.